UGCAGUCGAGCGGUNGGCCUCUUCGGGGGUACACGAGCGGCGAACGGGUGAGUAACACGUGAGCAAUCUGCCCUUCACUCGCGGAUAACUACCGGAAACGGUGGCUAAUACGUGAUGCGACCGCUUCCUGCAUGGGAUGGUGGUGGAAAGUUUUGGCGGUGGGGGAUGAGCUCGCGGCCUAUCAGCUUGUUGGUGAGGUAAUGGCUUACCAAGGCUUCGACGGGUAGCCGGCCUGAGAGGGUGACCGGCCACACUGGGACUGAGACACGGCCCAGACUCCUACGGGAGGCAGCAGUGGGGAAUAUUGGACAAUGGGCGAAAGCCUGAUCCAGCAACGCCGCGUGAGGGAUGACGGCCUUCGGGUUGUAAACCUCUUUCAGUACCGACGAAGCGCAAGUGACGGUAGGUACAGAAGAAGCACCGGCCAACUACGUGCCAGCAGCCGCGGUAAUACGUAGGGUGCGAGCGUUGUCCGGAAUUAUUGGGCGUAAAGGGCUCGUAGGCGGUUUGUCACGUCGGGAGUGAAAACUCGGGGCUUAACUCCGAGCCUGCUUCCGAUACGGGCUGACUAGAGGUAUGCAGGGGAGAACGGAAUUCCUGGUGUAGCGGUGAAAUGCGCAGAUAUCAGGAGGAACACCGGUGGCGAAGGCGGUUCUCUGGGCAUUACCUGACGCUGAGGAGCGAAAGUGUGGGGAGCGAACAGGAUUAGAUACCCUGGUAGUCCACACCGUAAACGUUGGGCGCUAGGUGUGGGGCUCAUUCCACGAGUUCCGUGCCGCAGCUAACGCAUUAAGCGCCCCGCCUGGGGAGUACGGCCGCAAGGCUAAAACUCAAAGGAAUUGACGGGGG
Molecule: ribosomal RNA, 849 nt
Filed under: Nocardioides sp. D27
Lineage: Bacteria; Bacillati; Actinomycetota; Actinomycetes; Propionibacteriales; Nocardioidaceae
Description: bacterial SSU rRNA
Rfam family: Bacterial small subunit ribosomal RNA
Source: RNAcentral